RNAcentral lists this ribosomal RNA (432 nucleotides) under uncultured bacterium. Its description in RNAcentral is "partial 16S ribosomal RNA". It matches the Rfam family "Bacterial small subunit ribosomal RNA", at positions 29 to 507 of the family's 1533-position model. The record is from RNAcentral.
ACGAACGCUGGCGGCAUGCCUAACACAUGCAAGUCGAACGAGACCUUCGGGUCUAGUGGCGCACGGGUGCGUAACGCGUGGGAACCUGCCCUUAGGUUCGGAAUAACUCCCCGAAAGGGGUGCUAAUACCGGAUAAUGUCUUCGGACCAAAGAUUUAUCGCCUUUGGAUGGGCCCGCUUUGGAUUAGCUAGUUGGUAGGGUAAAAGCCUACCAAGGCGACGAUCCAUAGCUGGUCUGAGAGGAUGAUCAGCCACACUGGGACUGAGACACGGCCCAGACUCCUACGGGAGGCAGCAGUGGGGAAUAUUGGACAAUUGACGAAAGCCUGAUCCAGCAAUGCCGCGUGAGUGAUGAAGGCCUUAGGGUUGUAAAGCUCUUUUACCCGGGAUGAUAAUGACAGUGCCGGGAGGAUAAGCUCCGGCUAACACCGUG